Molecule: ribosomal RNA, 775 nt
Filed under: Cladonia sp.
Lineage: Eukaryota; Fungi; Ascomycota; Lecanoromycetes; Lecanorales; Cladoniaceae
Description: partial 28S ribosomal RNA
Rfam family: Eukaryotic large subunit ribosomal RNA
Source: RNAcentral
UAGAGGAUGUUUCGGGUGCGGCGCGGGUCUAAGUCCUUUGGAACAGGGCGUCAUAGAGGGUGAGAAUCCCGUAUGUGACCCGUGAUCAAGCCCUUGUGAAACCCCUUCGACGAGUCGAGUUGUUUGGGAAUGCAGCUCAAAAUGGGUGGUAAAUUUCAUCUAAAGCUAAAUACCGGCCAGAGACCGAUAGCGCACAAGUAGAGUGAUCGAAAGAUGAAAAGCACUUUGGAAAGAGAGUCAAAAAGUACGUGAAAUUGUUGAAAGGGAAGCGCUUGCAACCAGACCUGUCCGCAGGCGAUCAACUCCCGUUCUCGGGGGUGCACUCGUCUGUGAUCAGGCCAGCAUCGGUUCGGGCGGUCGGAUAAAGGCCUUGGGAAUGUAGCUCCUUCCGGGGAGUGUUAUAGCCCUCGGUGCAAUGCGGCCAGCCCGGACCGAGGACCGCGCCUUCGGGCUAGGAUGCUGGCGUAAUGGUUGUAAGCGACCCGUCUUGAAACACGGACCAAGGAGUCUAACAUCUAUGCGAGUGUUUGGGUGUCAAACCCAUACGCGUAAUGAAAGUGAACGGAGGUGAGAACCCUUAAGGGCGCAUCAUCGACCGAUCCAGAUGUCUUCGGAUGGAUUUGAGUAUGAGCAUAGCUGUUGGGACCCGAAAGAUGGUGAACUAUGCCUGAAUAGGGUGAAGCCAGGGGAAACCCUGGUGGAGGCUCGCAGCGGUUCUGACGUGCAAAUCGAUCGUCAAAUUUGGGUAUAGGGGCGAAAGACUAAUCGAACCAUC